Anguilla anguilla (European eel) is the source of this 1223-nucleotide long non-coding RNA. RefSeq lists it as uncharacterized. The record is from RefSeq and is a predicted model, not a curated record. The transcript has 5 exons. NCBI's taxonomy places the organism in Eukaryota, Metazoa, Chordata, Actinopteri, Anguilliformes, Anguillidae.
AUAAUUAUACAGGAUUUUGUAAAGCAGUUUAUUUCGAAAUACUGUUUAUAACUAAAUAUUUUAUUUUUCAUUGAGACACCGCCCUAAAAGUGUCAAGGGUGGGGGUUUGGGGGGUUACACACCAACCAUAAAUUAGGGCCCAGGACACAGCAUCUUUACUUUGGCGAGAAGCAAGAAUGGCUGGAGUCGACUUUUACGCUGUAUCAUAUACGCCCUGUACUCAAGUCCUGAACGAAGUUCUAGAGAUCUUGACAACUGAUGAAGAGCUGGUGCCAAGUCUACCAACGAAUCCACAAACACCGGAGCAAGUGCGGAUCAAUCCUGCCGAGGAGAGCGCAAGCUUAUCGACACCUACACUUAUUUAAUCAGGUACUGAGAACCACGUGGCAGAGAGGGCCUUGGGAGAAACGGUGGUGAAACAGAUCACAGCACAAAAACCUACACAGAUUGAAGAGUGCGUAACAGCUGAGGAAAGCAACCAACAGACCAGAGAAUCACACCUCCAGGAGCAAACAGUUGAGGAAGCCCCUGGACACAGAGAGGAUGGCAGUGCUGAGGAAAGCAACCAACAGGCCCGAGAAUCACACAUCCGGGAGCAACCAGGGGCCCAAACAAUUCUCCAGAAGCCAGAGGACACCGAAAGACGGCCCUUUAAGGUCCCAGCCCAUUUGGAAGCUCUGAAAAUCUUCAAUCGUGAGUUACAUUUGGCUAAACAGCGUCUCGCAGUGCUGAAGGAGUCUGAGUAUCGUUUGUCAGAACAACGGCUUAAGGUGUUUCAGACAAUCUUUGAGAAAUAUUAGAAAUGGCACAGAGGCAACAACCAGAUCAGUUAGGCCGGGCACACAGCACAGAGAACAUUAACUCACAAAUUUUACAUGCAAUUCAAGCUAUAACUCAAAACAACAGCCCACAAGCUGCUGAAAACAUUCCAAAUGUUUUUAUAAACCCAAAUCUGCUACAGCUUGUUAACAAUAUUAACCAUGACACUAACGACAUGCAUGAAAUGGCUGGUGAUUACUUUGAUCGGUUGAACGAGGCUUUGGCAAACCUUACCGCCGGUGAUGGUGCACUAACCCCUGCAGCAGACUCUUUUGGUUUUCUGAACGAUGCUUUAGAUCGACUAAACCAGGAAGGGGGGAAUCUUAAUGAAUCACCACUAACGCCUACCGCUGAUAACCCACAAGGUUCUGACGAUGUGCAUGCUGCCGCUGCUAAUAGUAAUG